Long non-coding RNA from Orbicella faveolata, 785 nucleotides. The record is from RefSeq and is a predicted model, not a curated record. Lineage: Eukaryota; Metazoa; Cnidaria; Anthozoa; Scleractinia; Merulinidae.
GCUCCAAAAAGCCAAGGAAGACGCGGAAGAAGCAUACAAUGCAAUAUCAGAAAUUGCUAACAAAGAGAUGACUCGCUACAACAGGCAAAGGGUGUUGAGCCUGCAGGCAAGUCUUGUCCAGUACGCUGAAUCGCGGUUAAAGAACGGAAGAGAUACGUACGCCAUAUUAGCCAAACUAAUGAAUGACUUGAAGAAGUCUUCCUAAUUCACCACAAAAUGAAGUAAAUGUCUCAAACUUUGUGGGAAGUUAUACUUUUUUUACUCCUUUUUUAAGAAAAAUGUCAAACCUCGCAUGAAUAUAUAUGUUACGAAUGAAGUGCAUUCAAGAAUACAAGUGAUAUUAAUGUAAAAUGAAAAUUUAAGGAGAAUCGCAUUGUGUGGACUUCAAAUGAAACGCCAGUCUGCCAUAAUCACUUCGUUUCCAUUGUUUGGAGUAACAGUUGCUAAAAGUAUCACUUAGGAGAUAAUAAGUGAUGUUAGAAUUUUGGAAUAUUGAUAAUAGCCUUGAAUUAUCAAGAUUAAGGUACAGUUAUCCAGAGCAGAUAGUCCUUUUAUUCAAAUUCAAAAAUUUCAAUCUGUUGGGUUGGAUAAUUAAGAGCAUUAAAGUUUCCUUGCAAUUUAAAAGUAUAUAUAUAUCUAUCUGGCUUUGAUGUAUGCCUUCCUGAUCUCAUUCAAACGUUAAUCCAGAGACUCGUGUUUCUAGAAAUUAGAAAUGAAUUUUUUUCAAAUCGAGAAUGUCCCUUGUACCGUUCAUUUUUAAAGAAAUUAAACCAGUUAUUAACAUG